This is a non-coding RNA of Microcebus murinus (gray mouse lemur), 4451 nucleotides long. Lineage: Eukaryota; Metazoa; Chordata; Mammalia; Primates; Cheirogaleidae. The record is from RefSeq and is a predicted model, not a curated record.
CGAUCGGACCCUCCCGCCUCGGGCGGGCGCGGGGCUCGGGAGGGAGGCCGGUGCGGGAGCCGCCUGCGCAGCCCCGCCUUCCGCCCGCUCCAGAGCAGCCCCGGGCCCUAACAGCGACCAGUGACCCGUGCUCUGAGAAACCCCUCCCGGUGCCCCGCAGCCCUCGGACAGAGAGCUCGAGGCUGGAGGGCGUUUUUUGCAGAUCCGACCCAUGCCAGGGCGGUUUGUUCUCUGCUCUGCUCUUAAACGGAGGGAGGAAAAGAAAAGACAUCCACCUGGAGUCCCAAUUCCUGGACCGUUUACUUAAGAGCGUUGCCUGUCUCUGGAGCUAGAACCACAUUGCAGGAAGCAACGUUUGGGUAACUAACAAAGAGCCGCCGCCGGUGGCCCUGCUAGGUGCUUGGUGCGGCUCGUGGCCUUCGGGACGCGUGGAUGGCCAUCCUCGCAGGACCCUGCAGGCCCGGCCGACUCCGCCGCUCUCGUAUGGGAGAAACGCAGAAGGCGGGACGCGCCCCUCUUUACCCACCCAGCCUUCUCCUCCCGGAUCACUGCCCAAGCCCUGGCUCUGGAGACACCGGCCCCGCCCGGGCCUGAAAAUCCACCUCCACUGAGCAAAGACUCUGUGGCUCUGGGCUAUAAAUAUUAAUAAGCUGCGCGGCUGCGGGCUUAAUUAUCUCUCUUUAAUUGCAACUCAACCAAAAAUCCAGCCUCCUGCUACUCCGGGCCCCCUAAGUCGGGGAUCGUUUGGUUUUGGUGUCAGGAGGCUCCCUCAGCUCAAAGUCGUUCUUUGUGUUCCACUGCCCAACCUGGAAACCAUAUGCUGGGCCUCUCCGCUGGUUAAAGUCACCCUCGGACAGAUUUGAGCUGACACCUCUACACCUUGCCUUACAGUCAGUCGCCUGUGUCCCGGCCGCCUCGGGUUUCCUCCCCUUUGCCAGGGGACCUCACCUCUGUCCCUGCCCCCGCAGCCCUUGCUGCUAAAGCCUUGCUGCUAAUAGCCUCGGGGCUUUGGCAAAUAGGGGUGGUCUCCGGGUGGGAUGAGCCCCGGGUUUGACCUAAAGGCACCGAUGGUGGCCCCAGCCCUGGACAAGGCCUGCGGGCUGCGAAAGGGCCUCUUCGUCCCUGCUCCCAGGAAUGCAGCCCUGGCAGCUCCCUGGGUGGCACGGGUCGCCUGUCUGCCAGCUUUGGGGACGCCUCUUUCCCACCACCCCUGCGGCCCACUCCUUUCCCUGUGGCCCACCCCUUCCCAAGGGCUCCUCCCUGAGCCCGUUGAGGGGUCGUGUGCUGCCGAGAAGGGGCUCCAGACUACUGAGGGCCAGUCACUGCUCAGGGGCUCCGUGCGUCGUCUCCUGACCUCAGGCGUGGGGUGGUGGGCUGCUGCCAUGGCUCGCCUUCCACCGCCCUCUCUGGAGACGCCACGCCAAAGCACAGAACCAGCCAAAGUAGAGCCAGGGUCUUGGCUAGACACUACCUGCACCUGGGCUCUGUGCCCCAGGGGCUUGCCGGCCCCUAGCUGAGGCGGCCUCGGGAGCCCAGCCGCACUCACCCCGGGAAAGCGGGAGCCCUUCGGAGGACACCGCUUGUAAGAGCCGAGGAAGACCAGGCUUUCUGCCCGCAGACGUGGUUGCUCAGUCUUCUAAGGCACCACCGUAGGCCAAGAGCAGCUGUUGAAUUAUUUCCUGGCCACUUAGUUAAGUGGGAGGCAUGGUGUGCCCACAAGCAGCUGCCCAAGACAGAGAGAUACUGUCUAUUCCCCAGAGAGUAUUACGAUCAUUUAAAAUAUAACUCCUUUGUAUUUUGUAUCUAUUUACUUGAUACAUUCCCAUUUAAAUUGCAAGAGGCAAGUUAAAACUGCAAAACAAGGAUUUAGGCCGAAACAUCUAGGUUUUGGGUAAAACACAAGUAUUAAUAUUUAAAUUAGCAUCUGUUGUCUUUCAGUUUAAAAUGCAAACCUAUGGCCAAGGCCCAAUGACAAAUAACUAUGCAUUCCACAACCUGAAAUACAAGCCAUCAGUCUGUAGUGGCCACUGAGUUGCAUGAAUGGUAAACUUCCACUGAAAUGACAAGAAAUCCACCUGGAAUACUUCAAGACUGCAGCUUUUACAGGCUGUUUCUGCAGGUCACUCCAGAGGCAAGAUCAACUUUUUUAUGAACCAAAUCAAAAUUUCUUAUAUAAUUAGGCUCAAGGCUCUGGCAACAAAUAGUUAGUUGAGGCCCAGAUUUGGGGGCAUCCAUUUUGGUGGGCAGGCAGGAGGUCAGUUGCAACUAUCAUAAAAACCUGAUUUUGCAUCUUCCCCUUUCUCUGUCCCCACCAUCUAGCACUGGGUAAUCUGGGUGGGGAAGUGAGCUGGGAGGAGGAGGUGGUGGCCUUGGGCAUUUGGGCAAGUAUGGGUUUUACUUAUUAUCCCUGUCGCUGCACCCAGCAGGUGUUCAGUAAACAUUAAAGGACCCAGAGCUACAUGAGGACAAUGUGGCGUUGGCCUUCUCUAAAGGGACAUUUAGAGCUGCCUGGCUUAGAGUCAGGCCCAGAGGCUGCAUGGAGUGAAGUGUUUUGUCCCGUUUCUUUCUGCUUUGGUGGGAGCUGGGCAGCCACAAAAGCCUGCUGUGUGUCCCUUCAGAGCACAGGGCAGCAUCUGGAAAUCUUAGUAUUUCUUGGAAUGUCUUUGGAAACUUUAAUCUCAACCAAGAAGGGUUGCCAUAAGGCUGAGAUGGGCAUUUAGAAAUUGUUCUUUGUUAAUGAUAGUCUUGGGAUCUGUAUUCCCCCUUUUUAGCUUGAUAAAGACCAAAAGUCAGGUACCAACUUGUAUCACCAAAACCCUACAAAUGGCUCCUAGUCUUCCUUGACAGUAAAAGUCUGAAAGCUGCUUUUGAAUUCUGCUGGCUCAGUUUCAUCCCGCCCCUCCCCAUAUGAUGCAAUGCUAGGACAGGGCCCAGAAAGCUGCUGUGUCUGUCACCAGCAGGCUGAGUCUGCCCUCGAGGUGCCAGGGAGAAACUGGACCAACAAGAGCUCUGUUGAGUGAUCCUCCCUCCACCAAUGGAGCUGCUGCAGGAGUCGCAACAUAUACAGUUCCUUACAAAAACUCUUUACUAUCUGCAUUCACAGACAAAGAAACUGAGGCCUAGAGAGGUUAAGUGAUCAGGCUUAGGCCAUGGGAGACUUCUGUGUCUGUCCUGGGGCUUUUGCUACCACACCAGUUGCUGCAAAGUCAGUAGGAGAUACUGAGAAAUAUAAUUGGUUUUUGGAGUGAUGGUUUUGCCCUGGAAUUCACAUUGCAUCUCUGCUUUGUUUGGCAAGAGGCGCACACAAAACAAUUCUCAGCAGCAGAGAGACUAGUGGGUGCCUAAGAAGAAACCAGGUGCAGUCCAGGCAGUAGAGCCAAAGACACAAGUGGGAGCCAGGCCUUUGCACAGAACAAAGGCUUCCAGCCAGAAGAUGAAGGCAGAUAGCCGCAGGAUGGGGAAUCCCCCACCCCAGCUGGUAGUGGUGAUUGGUCUCCUGUUUCUCCUCUUCUGCCUCUUCCUUCUACCUCACCUGAUGGCUGGACACAGGCCCAGGCAACUGGCCUUGAUUAGCAAUGCAGGCCACAGACUGGGACAGUUUUGUUUUCCCUCAUGUUACAGGGUAUGUUGUUUAUCAGCCUUAGACGUUCAGCAAUUUCACGCCUGUAAUUCCUCCUGAUUUUUAUACAGCAUUGACACCCAGACACACCCGCCACUCAGGGUUAUAAAAACCAACACUAAUCUGCACCUCACACCUGGUUAGGGAUUGAGAAAACGAGCCUGGGAUCUGAAAUAAUCAAAUACAGUCUUUCUCUUUUGUGUGGAUUUUCAUAUUUUACUACUUAGAGUUGCCUAUGUCCUCAGCCUGGUGGCACAGAAGAUUUUGGAAAGAAGUAGACAGGUAUAUCAGAAGAGAGAUGGCAUUCUUUGACAUGUAGGGCUGGACUUAAUGAGCAUUUGGGAAUUUGAAGGUUUCGGGGGUAAACUACUCAUAAAUGUAUGAAAAUGGGUGCUCAGUUGCCAUUCACCAAAGCAGUGAGGCUGGUUGGUGAUGGUGGUGGACAUUUAUGAGCACUUAUUAUAUAUGUGGCACUCCUCAGCACUUGACAUGUAUGGACUCAUUUUAUCUUCACAGGAACACUGUAGGGUGAGUACUCUGACUAUACCCGUUUUCCAGAUGAGAGAACUGAGGCAUAGAGAUGUUCUGUAACAGUUCUGGAUCCCAGGCUAGGCCAGCCUGCCCCAGAGAGAAGCCAGUGACCCACUGUGCCCUUUGAAGGAGGCAAACGAAAACGUGCCACCCUCAGGACCAAAAGGAGGUUCCCACAUUUACAGAAGGGCUCAUCAGCAGUUGUUCACAAUUUUUGUACAAGACCAGAACUCUUUAAACAUCUCCUCCGAGGUCAAGUAGAUGAGAGCAUUUUCUGUAACAGAUUUUCUUCAAAAUAAUA